This 120-nucleotide ribosomal RNA is filed under the name Pteropus alecto (black flying fox). The record is from RNAcentral. Lineage: Eukaryota; Metazoa; Chordata; Mammalia; Chiroptera; Pteropodidae.
GUCUACGGCCAUGCCACCUGAACAAGCCCCAUCCCACUUGAUCUUGGAAGCUAAGCAGGGUCGAGCCUGGUUAGUACUUGGAUGGGAAGUACUAACUAGGAAGACCAGGUGCUAUAGGCA